UGAGGAAUAUUGGUCAAUGGGCGAGAGCCUGAACCAGCCAAGUAGCGUGCAGGAUGACGGCCCUAUGGGUUGUAAACUGCUUUUAUAUGGGAAUAAAGUGAGGGACGUGUCCCUUAUUGCAUGUACCAUACGAAUAAGGACCGGCUAAUUCCGUGCCAGCAGCCGCGGUAAUACGGAAGGUCCAGGCGUUAUCCGGAUUUAUUGGGUUUAAAGGGAGCGUAGGCUGUCUAUUAAGCGUGUUGUGAAAUAUACCGGCUCAACCGGUGGCUUGCAGCGCGAACUGGUCGACUUGAGUAUGCAGGAAGUAGGCGGAAUUCAUGGUGUAGCGGUGAAAUGCUUAGAUAUCAUGACGAACUCCGAUUGCGCAGGCAGCUUACUGUAGCAUAACUGACGCUGAUGCUCGAAAGUGCGGGUAUCAAACAGG
This 424-nucleotide ribosomal RNA is filed under the name Verrucomicrobiota bacterium. RNAcentral describes it as "Verrucomicrobia bacterium partial 16S ribosomal RNA". It matches the Rfam family "Bacterial small subunit ribosomal RNA", at positions 355 to 776 of the family's 1533-position model. The record is from RNAcentral. Lineage: Bacteria; Pseudomonadati; Verrucomicrobiota.